RNAcentral lists this non-coding RNA (773 nucleotides) under Hierodula membranacea. The record is from RNAcentral. Lineage: Eukaryota; Metazoa; Arthropoda; Insecta; Mantodea; Mantidae.
UUUAAAUUGUUUAUUUUAGCAUUAAUCUAUAUGUAAAUUUUUAUAUAAUUUAAAUUUCUUAAUGAUUUUUAAUUUAAUAAUUGCAGUAGAUAGUAUUAUUUAUAUUAAGUUAACUUAGAUUUAGUAAAUGUUAUAAAGGUUUGGUAAAAGUUGUGCCAGCAUCCGCGGUUAUACAACGAAAUCAAGUAAACAUUAUUAGCUUUAAAGUAAUUAAUAUUUAUUUUUAAAUAGGAUUUAAGGUGUUUUAAGGUGAAAUAUUUAUAAUAUCUUAAGAAGUAUAUUUUUAUGGUAUGAUUGUUAUGAAAUUGAAAAUGUAAACUAGGAUUAGAUACCCUAUUAUUUUUAUUGUAAAAUUUUAAGCUGGAGUAUUAAUAGCUAUGAUCUUUAAACUUAAAGAAUUUGGCGGUAUUAUAGUCUAUUUAGAGGAAUCUGUUAUGUAAUCGAUAGUCCACGUUGAACCUUACUUAAAUUGUUUCUUGUAUACCUCUGUUUAAGAAUAUACUUUUAGGUUAUUUUCUAGAUAUAUUAGUAUUUAGGAUUUCAAGUCAAGGUGCAGUAAUAUUUAAGUUGAGUAAUGGAUUACAAUAAAUUUUAUUUAUAUGGAUUAUUAUUGAAAUAAUAAUAUGAAGGUGGAUUUAAUUGUAAUUUUAUAAAGAUUGUUAAAAUGAUUAGUAGCUCUAUAAUAUGUACACAUCGCCCGUCACUCUCGUUAUUAAGAUGAGAUAAGUCGUAACAAAGUAGGUGUAUUGGAAAAUGUACCUAGAAAGUUAAAU